RNAcentral lists this ribosomal RNA (301 nucleotides) under uncultured bacterium. Its description in RNAcentral is "partial 16S ribosomal RNA". It matches the Rfam family "Bacterial small subunit ribosomal RNA", at positions 509 to 809 of the family's 1533-position model. The record is from RNAcentral.
CAGCCGCCGCGGGAAAACGUAGGUGGCAAGCGUUGUCCGGAAUUAUUGGGCGUAAAGGGCUCGCAGGCGGUUUCUUAAGUCUGAUGUGAAAGCCCCCGGCUCAACCGGGGAGGGUCAUUGGAAACUGGGAAACUUGAGUGCAGAAGAGGAGAGUGGAAUUCCUCGUGUAGCGGUGAAAUGCGUAGAGAUGUGGAGGAACACCAGUGGCGAAGGCGACUCUCUGGUCUGUAACUGACGCUGAGGAGCGAAAGCGUGGGGAGCGAACAGGAUUAGAUACCCCCGUAGUCCCUGUCUCUUAUAA